UUGUGAGAUGAUAAAUAAUGGAGCUCUCAGACUUGUGUCCCAUCAAUUUUGGACAGAGUUACGAAACAUUUUUAUUUAUUGUAUUGAAAUCGAGCAAAGCGUAAAUAUCGGGGUGGGACGAAAAAAAGGUGCUAUCAGACUGUUUCAGGAGUGGAUCCAUGAUAUGUGAAACAAUUCUCGUGGAAACCUGGCUGUUAAAUUUUCUUUUUAUUUGUGGUGUCACUUGGAUGGUUAAGACCACUUACGGUCCAUCUCGUCACCAAGAUUCCAGAGUAGGUGUUGCAGAUCUUCUUUUUGGUCGCAUAGGUCGCGAUUGUCGUUGGUUUCCCAAACCAACUUGUGCCACACUAAAAAAAUAUCACUUAAUUACCACAUGUAAAAACAUAAAUAAAAUAUUUUCCAUAA
Long non-coding RNA from Topomyia yanbarensis, 405 nucleotides. RefSeq lists it as uncharacterized. The record is from RefSeq and is a predicted model, not a curated record. The transcript has 2 exons. Lineage: Eukaryota; Metazoa; Arthropoda; Insecta; Diptera; Culicidae.